Molecule: ribosomal RNA, 490 nt
Filed under: uncultured bacterium
Lineage: Bacteria
Description: partial 16S ribosomal RNA
Rfam family: Bacterial small subunit ribosomal RNA
Source: RNAcentral
AUUGAACGCUGGCGGCAGGCCUAACACAUGCAAGUCGAACGGUAACAGGAAGAAGCUUGCUUCUUUGCUGACGAGUGGCGGACGGGUGAGUAAUGUCUGGGAAACUGCCUGAUGGAGGGGGAUAACUACUGGAAACGGUAGCUAAUACCGCAUAACGUCGCAAGACCAAAGAGGGGGACCUUCGGGCCUCUUGCCAUCGGAUGUGCCCAGAUGGGAUUAGCUAGUAGGUGGGGUAACGGCUCACCUAGGCGACGAUCCCUAGCUGGUCUGAGAGGAUGACCAGCCACACUGGAACUGAGACACGGUCCAGACUCCUACGGGAGGCAGCAGUGGGGAAUAUUGCACAAAGGACGCAAGCCUGAUGCAGCCAUGCCGCGUGUAUGAAGAAGGCCUUCGGGUCGUAAAGUACUUUCAGCGGGGAGGAAGGGAGUAAAGUUAAUACCUUUGCUCAUUGACGUUACCCGCAGAAGAAGCACCGGCUAACUCCGUG